AGCGAACGCUGGCGGCAUGCCUAACACAUGCAAGUCGAACGGCAGCACCGUAAGAGCUUGCUCUUGCGUGUGGCGCGUGGCGGACGGGUGAGUAAUACAUCGGAAUCCACCUUUUCGUGGGGGAUAACGCCGGGAAAUUUACGCUAAUACCGCAUACGACCCACGGGUGUAAGCAGGGGAUCUUCGGACCUUGCGCUAGUGAAUGAGCCGAUGUCGGAUUCGCUAGUUGGCUAGGUAAAGGCCAACCAAGGCGACGAUCCGUAGCUGGUCCGAGAGCAUGAUCCGACACAUUGGAAGUGAGACACGGUCCCGACACCUACGGGAGGCAGCAGUGGAGAAUAUUGCACGAUGGGGGAGAGCCUGAUCCAGCCCUACCGCGUGGGUGAUGAAGGCCUUCGGGUUGUAGAGCCAUGUUGUUGGGAAAGAAAAGCAGCAGGUUUAUCCGCCGCGAUAAUGACGGUACCGAAAGAAUAAGCACCGGCUAACUUCGUG
Molecule: ribosomal RNA, 492 nt
Filed under: uncultured bacterium
Lineage: Bacteria
Description: partial 16S ribosomal RNA
Rfam family: Bacterial small subunit ribosomal RNA
Source: RNAcentral